Oryctolagus cuniculus (rabbit) is the source of this 2001-nucleotide non-coding RNA. The record is from RefSeq and is a predicted model, not a curated record. NCBI's taxonomy places the organism in Eukaryota, Metazoa, Chordata, Mammalia, Lagomorpha, Leporidae.
GGCCCCGGCCCCGUUGCCAUCCCCUCCUGGGGGGAGGGGCAGUGCUGGCGUGGGAGGUGCUCCCCGCCCCGCCCUUGCCGUGGCCCCCGUCAGCCCCCUUGGGUGACCACUGCAGUGACCUCAGGGAGGACUGGCAGCCCAGCCUGUGCCAGCCGUGGAGCCGUGGCCACGCCACCCUCCUGCUGCGCGGGGCCUGCUCCGAGGACACUCCCAGCGUCACCCCCGGGCCUUGCCGGGCUGCCACUUCCUGCCGUCCCAGCCUGAGCAGGGGCAGAGGUGGCUUCCCAGGCUCAGAGGGCACCACCUCGCCUGGAGGGGUGGGCGCUGCCUGUGGUGCUGGCCGUGAGGUCCGGCCCUCCUGUCCACUGUGGUCAGGGCAGCGCGGGUCAGGGGAAGGGGCACUGGCCGUGAGGCCCGGCCCUCCUGUCCACUGUGGUCGGGGCAGCGCGGGUCAGGGGAAGGGGCACUGGCCGUGAGGCCCGGCCCUCCUGUCCACUGUGGUCGGGGCAGCGCGGGUCAGGGGAAGGGGCACAGGCCGUGAGGCCCGGCCCUCCUGUCCACUGUGGUUGGGGCAGUGCAGGUCAGGGGAAGGGGCGCUGGCCGUGAGGCCCGGCCCUCCUGUCCACUGUGGUCAGGGCAGUGCGGGUCAGGGGAAGGGGCACAGGCCGUGAGGUCCGGCCCUCCUGUCCACUGUGGUCAGGGCAGCGCGGGUCAGGGGAAGGGGCACAGGCCGUGAGGUCCGGCCCUCCUGUCCACUGUGGUCAGGGCAGCGCGGGUCAGGGGAAGGGGCACAGGCCGUGAGGCCCGGCCCUCCUGUCCACUGUGGUCGGGGCAGCGCGGGUCAGGGGAAGGGGCGCUGGCCGUGAGGCCCGGCCCUCCUGUCCACUGUGGUCGGGGCAGCGCGGGUCAGGGGAAGGGGCGCUGGCCGUGAGGCCCGGCCCUCCUGUCCACUGUGGUCGGGGCAGCGCGGGUCAGGGGAAGGGGCGCUGGCCGUGAGGCCCGGCCCUCCUGUCCACUGUGGUCAGGGCAGCGCGGGUCAGGGGAAGGGGCACAGGCCGUGAGGUCCGGCCCUCCUGUCCACUGUGGUCAGGGCAGCGCGGGUCAGGGGAAGGGGCGCUGGCCGUGAGGCCCGGCCCUCCUGUCCACUGUGGUCGGGGCAGCGCGGGUCAGGGGAAGGGGCGCUGGCCGUGAGGCCCGGCCCUCCUGUCCACUGUGGUCGGGGCAGCGCGGGUCAGGGGAAGGGGCACAGGCCGUGAGGCCCGGCCCUCCUGUCCACUGUGGUCGGGGGCAGCGCGGGUCAGGGGAAGGGGCGCUGGCCGUGAGGCCCGGCCCUCCUGUCCACUGUGGUCGGGGCAGCGCGGGUCAGGGGAAGGGGCGCAGGCCGUGAGGCCCAGGGCUCUGUGCCCAGCACCCCGGCAGGUCCUCUGUGGGGACGGCAGCAGGGCCCUGAGCUGGCUCCUCCCAGGGCUGUGUGGCCUGGAGCUGUGGCAGUGCCCGGCAGCCUGCGGGGGGCGGCACCCCCAGGUGUGACCGCACCGUGGCCUUGGCACCCGGGUUGUGACGGCGCUGGAGCCGGUCCCUGCCACACGCCGCCUCUGCCGGCGAGGGUGGGGUCGGGCCGGGCCACGCAGGAGCCUCUGCUGCAGGUAUGCUUCCCAGACACUUUCUAUUUAAAAGAACCGCGGGGUGGGGGGCUCUUCCAUCUGCUGGUUCACUCUCCGAUGGCUGCGGCUGGGCCAGGCUGAAGCCCGGAGCCAAGAACUCCGUCCAGGUCUCCCACGCCGGUGCAGGGGCCCGAGCCCCUGGGCGCCCUCCGCGCUUUCCCAGGUCACAGCAGGAGCCGGGCGGGAGGUGGGGCCGCCGGGCCUCGCCCCAGGCGCUGGUAGGAGAUGCAGCAGUGCAGGCGCUGGCUGUCCCAGGUCCCCUCUGCCCGGCGCCACAGGAGGUGAGCCCGCUGUCCGGCGAGGCUGCCCGAGCCCCUGACCAGCUUCCUCUGCUUCC